RNAcentral lists this ribosomal RNA (389 nucleotides) under uncultured bacterium. RNAcentral describes it as "bacterial SSU rRNA". It matches the Rfam family "Bacterial small subunit ribosomal RNA", at positions 28 to 418 of the family's 1533-position model. The record is from RNAcentral.
GACGAACGCUGGCGGCGUGCUUAACACAUGCAAGUCGAGCGGUAAGGCCCUUUCGGGGGUACACGAGCGGCGAACGGGUGAGUAACACGUGGGUGACCUGCCCUCAGCUCUGGGAUAAGCCUGGGAAACUGGGUCUAAUACUGGAUAUGACUCCACGGUGCAUGUCGUGGGGUGGAAAGCCUUGUGCGGCUGAGGAUGGGCCCGCGGCCUAUCAGCUUGUUGGUGGGGGAUGGCCUACCAAGGCGACGACGGGUAGCCGGCCUGAGAGGGCGACCGGCCACACUGGGACUGAGACACGGCCCAGACUCCUACGGGAGGCAGCAGUGGGGAAUCUUGCGCAAUGGGCGAAAAGCCUGACGCAGCGACGCCGCGUGAGGGAUGACGGCCCU